Molecule: ribosomal RNA, 859 nt
Filed under: uncultured bacterium
Lineage: Bacteria
Description: bacterial SSU rRNA
Rfam family: Bacterial small subunit ribosomal RNA
Source: RNAcentral
GACGAACGCUGGCGGCGUGCUUAACACAUGCAGGUCGAACGAGAUCCAUGGAAGCUUGCUUCCGGAAGAUCUAGUGGCGAACGGGUGCGUAACACGUGAGAAAUCUGCCCCAGACUUGGGAAUAACAGUCGGAAACGACUGCUAAUACCGAAUACCUCCGGAGCGUCGCAUGGCGCACCGAAGAAAGCUUUUGCGGUUUGGGAGGGUCUCGCGGCCUAUCAGCUUGUUGGUGAGGUAACGGCUCACCAAGGCAUCGACGGGUAGCUGGUCUGAGAGGAUGAUCAGCCACACUGGGACUGAGACACGGCCCAGACUUCUACGGGAGGCAGCAGUGGGGAAUAUUGCACAAUGGGCGAAAGCCUGAUGCAGCAACGCCGCGUGCGGGAAGAAGGCCUUAGGGUUGUAAACCGCUUUCAGCAGGGAAGAAGAUGACGGUACCUGCAGAAGAAGGUGCGGCCAACUACGUGCCAGCAGCCGCGGUGACACGUAGGCACCAAGCGUUGUCCGGAUUUAUUGGGCGUAAAGAGCUCGUAGGCGGUUCAGUAAGUCGGGUGUGAAAACUCUGGGCUCAACCCAGAGACGCCACCCGAUACUGCUGUGACUUGAGUACGGUAGGGGAGCGGGGAAUUCCUGGUGUAGCGGUGAAAUGCGCAGAUAUCAGGAGGAACACCAGUGGCGAAGGCGCCGCUCUGGGCCGUAACCGACGCUGAGGAGCGAAAGCGUGGGGAGCAAACAGGAUUAGAUACCCUGGUAGUCCACGCCGUAAACGUUGGGCACUAGGUGUGGGUCUCAACCAACGAGAUCCGCGCCGUCGCUAACGCAUUAAGUGCCCCGCCUGGGGAGUACGGUCGCAAGACUA